GUGUCGUCAGCUCGUGUCGUGAGAUGUUCGGUUAAGUCCGCUAACGGGCGCAACCCUUCGCUGUGCGUUAUAUGUGUCACACGGGACUGCCGGUCUUAAGCCGGAGGAAGGUGGGAUGAUGUCAAGUCAGCAUUGGCCUUUAUAUCCUGGGCUACACACACGCUACAAUGGCCAACACAAUAGGUUGCUAAGCCGCGAGGUGGCGCCAAUCCAUAAAGUUGGUCUCAGUUCAGAUUGUAGGCUGCAACCCGCCUGCAUGAAGAUGGAGUUGCUAGUAACCGCAGGUCAGCUAUACUGCGGUGAAUACGUUCCCGGGGCUU
RNAcentral lists this ribosomal RNA (320 nucleotides) under uncultured Leptolinea sp. Its description in RNAcentral is "bacterial SSU rRNA". It matches the Rfam family "Bacterial small subunit ribosomal RNA", at positions 1049 to 1382 of the family's 1533-position model. Lineage: Bacteria; Bacillati; Chloroflexota; Anaerolineae; Anaerolineales; Anaerolineaceae. The record is from RNAcentral.